This 1433-nucleotide ribosomal RNA is filed under the name uncultured bacterium. Its description in RNAcentral is "bacterial SSU rRNA". It matches the Rfam family "Bacterial small subunit ribosomal RNA". The record is from RNAcentral.
AGGGUUUGAUCAUGGCUCAGAACGUACGCUGGCGGCACGCCUUAUACAUGCAAGUCGAACGAAGUAGCAAUACUUAGUGGCAGACGGGUGAGUAACAUGUAGGUAUCUUCCCUUUGGUGAGGAAUAACACGAGGAAACUUGUGCUAAUACCUCAUAAGUCUUUACGGAGAAAGCUUUAUGCGCCGAAGGAUGGGCCUGCAUUUGAUUAGUUUGUUGGUGGGGUAAUGGCUCACCAAGACUAUGAUCAAUAGCUGAUCUGAGAGGAUGAUCAGCCACAUUGGGACUGAGACACGGCCCAAACUCCUACGGGAGGCAGCAGUAGGGAAUAUUGCACAAUGGAGGAAACUCUGAUGCAGCGAUGCCGCGUGAGUGAAGAAGGCCUUUGGGUUGUAAAGCUCUUUCGUCGGGGAAGAAAAUGACUGUACCCGAAUAAGAAGGUCCGGCUAACUUCGUGCCAGCAGCCGCGGUAAUACGAAGGGACCUAGCGUAGUUCGGAAUUACUGGGCUUAAAGAGUUCGUAGGUGGUUAAAAAAGUUGGUGGUGAAAUCCCAGAGCUUAACUCUGGAACUGCCAUCAAAACUUUUAGCUAGAGUAUGAUAGAGGAAAGCAGAAUUUCUAGUGUAGAGGUGAAAUUCGUAGAUAUUAGAAAGAAUACCAAUUGCGAAGGCAGCUUUCUGGAUCAUUACUGACACUGAGGAACGAAAGCAUGGGUAGCGAAGAGGAUUAGAUACCCUCGUAGUCCAUGCCGUAAACGAUGUGUGUUAGACGUUGGAAAUUUAUUUUCAGUGUCGCAGCGAAAGCAUUAAACACACCGCCUGGGGAGUACGACCGCAAGGUUAAAACUCAAAUGAAUUGACGGGGACCCGCACAAGUAGUGGAGCAUGUGGUUUAAUUCGAAGAUACGCGCAGAACCUUACCAACACUUGACAUGUUCGUCGCGACUUUAAGAGAUUAAAGUUUUCGGUUCGGCCGGACGAAACACAGGUGCUGCAUGGCUGUCGUCAGCUCGUGUCGUGAGAUGUUGGGUUAAGUCCCGCAACGAGCGCAACCCUCACUUUUAGUUGCCAUCAUUUAGUUGGGCACUCUGAAAGAACUGCCAGUGAUAAGCUGGAGGAAGGUGGGGAUGACGUCAAGUCCUCAUGGCCCUUACGUGUUGGGCUACACACGUGCUACAAUGGCAUUUACAAUAGGAUGCAAGAUGGCGACGUCAAGCAAAUCCUAAAAAGAUGCCUCAGUUCGGAUUGUACUCUGCAACUCGAGUACAUGAAGCUGGAAUUACUAGUAAUCGCGGAUCAGCGCGCCGCGGUGAAUACGUUCCCGGGUCUUGUACACACCGCCCGUCACACCAUGGGAGUUGGUUCUACCUUAAGGCAAGGUUUAAAACCCUUGACCACGGUAUAGUCAGCGACUGGGGUGAAGUCGUAACAAGGUAA